This 784-nucleotide long non-coding RNA is filed under the name Rattus norvegicus (Norway rat). RNAcentral's name for it is "long non-coding RNA NONRATT016603". The stretch from base 683 to 751 matches the Rfam family "tRNA". The record is from RNAcentral. Lineage: Eukaryota; Metazoa; Chordata; Mammalia; Rodentia; Muridae.
AGUGGUAGAGUAUAAAUUUUUUUUUCCCUCUAAUGUCUCCUUUUCUUACAAACAGUAACUAGUUCUCUUAACUUCCUGCCAGCCUUGUAAUUGCUGAGUGGUGCACUGUCAAAGCUGUGGCCCUUCUUCCCAGCCUGUGGCUGCCUUAUCAUACCACCACACGUUUUCAAAAUGGCAGCAACACAACACCUCCUCAACUUGCCGUCAUGAGAUAUUACCACAGGAACUGUGGCAAUACCCUCUUUCCUGCCUCAGCCUGUGGCCAUUAUGAAAUACCAUCAAAGGAAGAGGUUACUGCAGGAGCUAGCUGUCCACAGUGGUGGCCCCUCCUCACUAACCUCCCAAGCAGCUCAUGGGCCCAAUACAGGGAAAAGGGGAUGGGAAAAACCCUACCAAUUCCUCAAUGGGAAAACCCACCAAUCUUGAGUUCUCCAAGUUUAGAAUGUGAAAUCCCACCAAUCUUCACACUGGAAAUCUGCCCAGAAAAGUUCCACCCCCUGAGAAAUCCUGCCCUUUGUUCAAUCUCUGGGGUCCAUUUCCGGAAGCCACCUCUGGAUUUGUCCUUCCUCCUGGAUUUAUACUUCCAAUCUCUUUCAUGAUAUUUGCUUCCUGGUGUGACUCUCUCAUAGGCCAAGAAGCAAUGAAGACAAGGGAAGAAUUAAAGAAGAGGAGCAGAGGGGUUGGGGAUUUAGCUCAGUGGUAGAGCGCUUGCCUAGGAAGCGCAAGGCCCUGGGUUCGGUCCCCAGCUCCGAAAAAAAGAAAAAAAAAAAAAAAAAAGAAGAGG